This 1033-nucleotide ribosomal RNA is filed under the name Salmonella enterica subsp. enterica serovar Saintpaul. RNAcentral describes it as "bacterial LSU rRNA". It matches the Rfam family "Bacterial large subunit ribosomal RNA", at positions 140 to 1211 of the family's 2925-position model. Lineage: Bacteria; Pseudomonadati; Pseudomonadota; Gammaproteobacteria; Enterobacterales; Enterobacteriaceae. The record is from RNAcentral.
UCGUCACACUAUCAUUAACUGAAUCCAUAGGUUAAUGAGGCGAACCGGGGGAACUGAAACAUCUAAGUACCCCGAGGAAAAGAAAUCAACCGAGAUUCCCCCAGUAGCGGCGAGCGAACGGGGAGGAGCCCAGAGCCUGAAUCAGCAUGUGUGUUAGUGGAAGCGUCUGGAAAGGCGCGCGAUACAGGGUGACAGCCCCGUACACAAAAGCGCAUGUGUUGUGAGCUCGAUGAGUAGGGCGGGACACGUGGUAUCCUGUCUGAAUAUGGGGGGACCAUCCUCCAAGGCUAAAUACUCCUGACUGACCGAUAGUGAACCAGUACCGUGAGGGAAAGGCGAAAAGAACCCCGGCGAGGGGAGUGAAAAAGAACCUGAAACCGUGUACGUACAAGCAGUGGGAGCACAGGUUUACCUGUGUGACUGCGUACCUUUUGUAUAAUGGGUCAGCGACUUAUAUUCUGUAGCAAGGUUAACCGAAUAGGGGAGCCGGAGGGAAACCGAGUCUUAAUUGGGCGUUAAGUUGCAGGGUAUAGACCCGAAACCCGGUGAUCUAGCCAUGGGCAGGUUGAAGGUUGGGUAACACUAACUGGAGGACCGAACCGACUAAUGUUGAAAAAUUAGCGGAUGACCUGUGGCUGGGGGUGAAAGGCCAAUCAAACCGGGAGAUAGCUGGUUCUCCCCGAAAGCUAUUUAGGUAGCGCCUCGUGAAUUCAUCUCCGGGGGUAGAGCACUGUUUCGGCUAGGGGGCCAUCCCGGCUUACCAACCCGAUGCAAACUGCGAAUACCGGAGAAUGUUAUCACGGGAGACACACGGCGGGUGCUAACGUCCGUCGUGAAGAGGGAAACAACCCAGACCGCCAGCUAAGGUCCCAAAGUCAUGGUUAAGUGGGAAACGAUGUGGGAAGGCCCAGACAGCCAGGAUGUUGGCUUAGAAGCAGCCAUCAUUUAAAGAAAGCGUAAUAGCUCACUGGUCGAGUCGGCCUGCGCGGAAGAUGUAACGGGGCUAAACCAUGCACCGAAGCUGCGGCAGCGA